GUACACGCUGUGACUAGCAUAUCAAUAAGCGGAGGAAAAGAAACUAACAAGGAUUCCCCUAGUAACGGCGAGUGAAGCGGGAAGAGCUCAAAUUUGAAAUCUUAAAGGGUUUCCCUUUACGAAUUGUAGUUUAAGAGAAGUGUUUUCUGUUGAGGUUUUGGUAAAAGUUCUUUGGAAUAGGACAUCAUAGAGGGUGAGAAUCCCGUAUUUGACCUUUACUUUCAACUUUGUGAUACACUUUCAAAGAGUCGGAUUGUUUGGGAAUGCAGUCCAAAAUGGGUGGUAAAUUUCAUCUAAAGCUAAAUAUUGGCGAGAGACCGAUAGCGAACAAGUACCGUGAGGGAAAGAUGAAAAGAACUUUGAAAAGAGAGUUAAACAGUACGUGAAAUUGUCAAAAGGGAAGCGUUUGACACCAGUGUUGUUUUUCUGAAAAUCAAUUAAAGAACUGUUUAUGCUAAGUUGUUUAGACUUUAUCAGCUAACUGUUUAGUUUUGAGCUUUUCUUUAAUGCACUUUUCAGUUAACAGGUCAACAUCAAUUUCUUUUGCUGUAAAAAAGCUUGAGGAAGGUGGCUUGAGAUUCGUCUUAAGUGUUUAUAGCCUCUUGCCUAUGCAGUCGGAGAGAUUGAGGUCUGCAGCGUAGAUCCUUCGGGGCUAAAUGCAUUUGUGCUAAGUUAUAGCAUUUUAUAGACAACUUGUUGACUAUGAUUUGUCUUGUAGCUUACUCGCUUAUGUUAUUUUACCUACGCUUAGGAUGUUGAAGAUGUAGCACAUCA
This 774-nucleotide ribosomal RNA is filed under the name uncultured Neocallimastigales. Its description in RNAcentral is "partial large subunit ribosomal RNA". It matches the Rfam family "Eukaryotic large subunit ribosomal RNA", at positions 22 to 642 of the family's 3401-position model. The record is from RNAcentral. Lineage: Eukaryota; Fungi; Neocallimastigomycota; Neocallimastigomycetes; Neocallimastigales.